AUUGAACGCUGGCGGCAUGCCUUACACAUGCAAGUCGAACGGUAACAGGGAGCUUGCUCCGCUGACGAGUGGCGAACGGGUGAGUAAUGUAUCGGAACGUACCAUUCAGUGGGGGAUAACGUAGCGAAAGUUACGCUAAUACCGCAUAUUCUGUGAGCAGGAAAGCAGGGGAUCGCAAGACCUUGCGCUGAUUGAGCGGCCGAUAUCAGAUUAGCUAGUUGGUGAGGUAAAGGCUCACCAAGGCGACGAUCUGUAGCGGGUCUGAGAGGAUGAUCCGCCACACUGGAACUGAGACACGGUCCAGACUCCUACGGGAGGCAGCAGUGGGGGAAUUUUGGACAAUGGGGGCAACCCUGAUCCAGCCAUGCCGCGUGAGUGAAGAAGGCC
This 387-nucleotide ribosomal RNA is filed under the name uncultured bacterium. RNAcentral describes it as "bacterial SSU rRNA". It matches the Rfam family "Bacterial small subunit ribosomal RNA", at positions 30 to 416 of the family's 1533-position model. The record is from RNAcentral.